Molecule: small nucleolar RNA, 106 nt
Organism: Zingiber officinale
Lineage: Eukaryota; Viridiplantae; Streptophyta; Magnoliopsida; Zingiberales; Zingiberaceae
Source: RefSeq, a predicted model, not a curated record
AAGCCAUGAUGAGGGCACUGUCUUUUUAGACUCUUGAAUCUAUCUCAUGCUUUAAAUAAUGAUUCUCUAUCUGCCUGAGAAAAGUUGGUGAUGUAAUUCCUCAUAU